This 397-nucleotide ribosomal RNA is filed under the name uncultured bacterium. RNAcentral describes it as "partial 16S ribosomal RNA". It matches the Rfam family "Bacterial small subunit ribosomal RNA", at positions 523 to 918 of the family's 1533-position model. The record is from RNAcentral.
AUACGUAGGUGACAAGCGUUAUCCGGAUUUACUGGGCGUAAAGGGCGUGUAGGCGGUCUUGCAAGUCAGAAGUGAAAUUCCUGAGCUCAACUCGGGCGCUGCUUCUGAAACUGCAGGACUUGAGUGCUGGAGGGGGUAGCGGAAUUCCUAGUGGAGCGGUAAAAUGCGCAGAUAUUAGGAAGAACACCGGUGGCGAAGGCGGAUAUCUGCCCGGUCACUGACGUUGAGGCGCGAAAGCGGGGGGAGAAAACAGCAUGUGACACCUUGGUGGCCCACGCCGUAAACGAUGAAUACUAGAUGUAGGGGGUCUCGACUGCCUCUGUGCCGCAGUUAACACAAUAAGUAUUCCGCCUGGGGAGUACGGCCGCAAGGUUGAAACUCAAAGGAAUUGACGGGG